Molecule: non-coding RNA, 123 nt
Organism: Oryctolagus cuniculus (rabbit)
Lineage: Eukaryota; Metazoa; Chordata; Mammalia; Lagomorpha; Leporidae
Source: Rfam
AAUAAAUCUUAAAAAAAAAAAAAAUUUUAAGGCAGUAUUUUUAUUCCAUUUUCAUAUUAUUCAACGACAAAACAAGACUCAGAAUUAAAACUUUUUCCACAAGGAAGAAACAGUAAUAUCCAC